AGUGAACGCUGGCGGUAGGCCUAACACAUGCAAUUCGAACGGCAGCACAGUAAGAGCUUGCUCUUACGGGUGGCGAGUGGCGGACGGGUGAGGAAUACAUCGGAAUCUACUUUUUCGUGGGGGAUAACGUAGGGACACUUACGCUAAUACCGCAUACGACCUACGGGGGAAAGCAGGGGAUCUUCGGACCUUGCGCGAUUGAAUGAGCCGAUGUCGGAUUAGCUAGUUGGCGGGGUAAAGGCCCACCAAGGCUACGAUCCGUAGCUGGUCUGAGAGGAUGAUCAGCCACACUAGAACUGAGACACGGUCCAGACUCCUACGGGAGGCGGAAGUGGGGAAUAUUGGACAAUGGGCGCAAGCCUGAUCCAGCCAUACCGCGUGGGUGAAGAAGGUCUUCGGGUUGUAAAGCCGUUUUGUUGGGAAAGAAAAGCAGCAGGUUAAUACCGCGCUGUUCUGACGGUACCCAAAGAAUAAGCACCGGCUAACUUCGUG
This 492-nucleotide ribosomal RNA is filed under the name uncultured bacterium. RNAcentral describes it as "partial 16S ribosomal RNA". It matches the Rfam family "Bacterial small subunit ribosomal RNA", at positions 29 to 507 of the family's 1533-position model. The record is from RNAcentral.